Neocloeon triangulifer is the source of this 380-nucleotide long non-coding RNA. RefSeq lists it as uncharacterized. The transcript is spliced from 3 exons. The record is from RefSeq and is a predicted model, not a curated record. Lineage: Eukaryota; Metazoa; Arthropoda; Insecta; Ephemeroptera; Baetidae.
CAAAGGCCGGUGCAUCGCUUCUGAACGCCUGCCAAAUUGCAAACGGUGGCGCUUCGCGGCUCUCGGCAAUGUUGUUUUCAGGCGUUUUUAUAUUUCAACAGAAAUCCAGACUGUGGGUAAUUUGAGCUGACUGGCGCUUGACGAGAUGCAUCAGAUUUCCCGCAGAAGCCGCACCGGUGCUGCGCGACUAAAGGCCAUCUAGGGUAGCUUGCCUGUCCACCAGAAGUAGACCAACGUCCAUCUUCUGCUUUUCGAACGCAUUUAAAUGCAAGAGAGCUGCCGAGAUUUUUGUCGGGAUGAGUUUCACUGCUCUUUUCACUCACAAAUCAUCAGAUUAAAAAGUUGAAAAUGUAUUUUGUAGAAUGUUGACUAUUCCAUCU